ACGAAGGGUGCUAGCGUUGUUCGGAAUGACUGGGCGUAAAGGGUGCGUAGGCGGCCAGAAACGUCUGAUGUGAAAUCCCUGGGCUUAACCUAGGAACUGCAUUGGAUACGGUCUGGCUAGAGUCCGCGAGAGGAAGAUGGAAUUGUGUGUGUAGAGGUGAAAUUCGUAGAUAUGCACAAGAACACCGGUGGCGAAGGCGAUCUUCUGGAGCGGUACUGACGCUGAGGCACGAAAGCGUGGGGAGCAAACAGG
This 252-nucleotide ribosomal RNA is filed under the name uncultured bacterium. Its description in RNAcentral is "partial 16S ribosomal RNA". It matches the Rfam family "Bacterial small subunit ribosomal RNA", at positions 525 to 776 of the family's 1533-position model. The record is from RNAcentral.